Herpailurus yagouaroundi (jaguarundi) is the source of this 473-nucleotide long non-coding RNA. RefSeq lists it as uncharacterized. The record is from RefSeq and is a predicted model, not a curated record. The transcript has 2 exons. NCBI's taxonomy places the organism in Eukaryota, Metazoa, Chordata, Mammalia, Carnivora, Felidae.
GGCAGAUACGUCAGAUGUCUCAAUGUUUGUUGUCCUGCACAAAAGGCGGAUGGACACAUUUGGUCUGGGGAAAUUGAUGAAUCAGCUGAAGUCCCCCAGCGGGAGACCAGAAACAUCAGCGGUUCAAAACAGGCCAGGUGACCUCCUUCAAACACACACCCAAACCAUUCUCAGGGCCUCUACUGUGAGCCUCAGACACACAUGAGAGACCCUGGGUCUCUCCGUGUGAUCUUUGUCAGUCAUCUUAAGGAUGUAUUGACUAUUGCCGAUGUUUCCGCUUACUCCUCUUUAGAAUGAAAGAGAGUUCACAAAGGCUACUGUGUCAUAAAGCAUAAGGGAACCGGGAGGUUGGGUGAUUCACCUGCUUGGAGAUGUUGGGACGGAAGACAAAAUGGCAACAAUUAGAAAAAAUGACUGUGUACCUACUCCGUUGAUUACUCCUCUUGAGAUCGAUAGAUACCUAUACGCAUAUA